CCUGUCCCUAGAGGCUUCGUUGUGGCUGCUAUGUCACGUGUGCAUCAGUAGGUGGCAGAGAGGAGAGAGGCUAUGUCUACACUUAGUGUUCUGACCUGUGAACGUCUGAAAGAUUAGUAGCUUAAUGCU
Molecule: small nucleolar RNA, 129 nt
Organism: Apodemus sylvaticus (European woodmouse)
Lineage: Eukaryota; Metazoa; Chordata; Mammalia; Rodentia; Muridae
Product: small nucleolar RNA SNORA17
Exons: 1
Source: RefSeq, a predicted model, not a curated record